Molecule: ribosomal RNA, 441 nt
Filed under: uncultured bacterium
Lineage: Bacteria
Description: partial 16S ribosomal RNA
Rfam family: Bacterial small subunit ribosomal RNA
Source: RNAcentral
CCUACGGGAGGCAGCAGUGGGGAAUAUUGCACAAUGGGGGAAACCCUGAUGCAGCGACGCCGCGUGAGUGAAGAAGUAUUUCGGUAUGUAAAGCUCUAUCAGCAGGGAAGAAAAAAGACGGUACCUGACUAAGAAGCCCCGGCUAACUACGUGCCAGCAGCCGCGGUAAUACGUAGGGGGCAAGCGUUAUCCGGAUUUACUGGGUGGAAAGGGAGCGUAGACGGUGCGUCAAGUCUGAAGUGAAAGCCCGGGGCUUAACCCCGGGACUGCUUUGGAAACUGGCGCGCUAGAGUGCUGGAGAGGUAAGUGGAAUUCCUAGUGUAGCGGUGAAAUGCGUAGAUAUUAGGAGGAACACCAGUGGCGAAGGCGGCUUACUGGACAGUAACUGACGUUGAGGCUCGAAAGCGUGGGGAGCAAACAGGAUUAGAUACCCCAGUAGUC